RNAcentral lists this long non-coding RNA (824 nucleotides) under Equus caballus (horse). RNAcentral describes it as "lncRNA (ENSECAG00000045159.1)". Lineage: Eukaryota; Metazoa; Chordata; Mammalia; Perissodactyla; Equidae. The record is from RNAcentral.
CAGCAAUCCUUCCAUCGCUGUGGUCCACUGAAGGACGGCAGACGUGUAAUUUCUCACCAACUGGUAGAUUCAGGAGAUUUUUAUUUAUUAUUUUUAUAUAAAAGUUUACCUCGAUGCUGUUUUAAAGAAAGUUACUGCUAAAUUAAAAGGUUCAUUUUUACGUUAGAGGUUCUGAUUUAUGGUACUAAAAUAAUACACAUUUAUACAUACGUCUGAGGAUAAAUGGAAUACAUCUGCUUUCAUGACAAACAUUUGAUAAAAUUUAAAUCUUCUUUUAACAAAUUUUGGUCAAGUUUAUCUACCUCAACCUUUUCUCAGCCAUUGAUGGACGACAAGUAAGCCAUCGGCUGUCCGUGCUUCAGUAACUUAAUCAUAAUAAUAGUUCCCAUCUCAAACAACCGCUUUAAAGACAAAAAAGAGAUAUUGAUGUAAACUACUUAGCAGAGUGCCUGGCCAAUGGUAAGCCUGAUCUUGAACAUGCGGUUUUGCCUUCUGGCAUGUCUAUGAAAGAAAGGAGACUCCAGAUGAUGUUUUCUUCCUUCAGGACUGGGAGGGGGUUACUCUUUCUUCUGCUGGAAGAGGAGAGAAAAAUGACAUGUGGGAAGGAAUAAAGAGCAGCAAAAAGCCUUCAGUAUCCUGUGGGAACAUGGUUUUCCAAAGUUACUUUGGUCAGCUCCUUACCUUAAAGGACCAGUAUCCUGAAAAAAUUCCUGAUUAUUAGAGAUACAUUGUCACUGAACUCUGAUACAGAAUUGGAGUAUCAUCCCACAUUGAUAAGAAUCUCACACUUUUCAAAACAAAUCAAAUUGAUUAAAAAUAUUGGC